UACGGAGGGUGCAAGCGUUAAUCGGAAUUACUGGGCGUAAAGCGUGCGCAGGCGGUUUGUUAAGUCCGUUGUGAAAGCCCCGAGCUCAACUUGGGAAUUGCAGUGGAUACUGGCAGGCUGGAGUACGGUAGAGGAAGGUGGAAUUCCCGGUGUAGCAGUGAAAUGCGUAGAUAUCGGGAGGAACACCAGUGGCGAAGGCGGCCUUCUGGACCGGUACUGACGCUCAUGCACGAAAGCGUGGGGAGCAAACAGG
RNAcentral lists this ribosomal RNA (253 nucleotides) under uncultured bacterium. RNAcentral's name for it is "partial 16S ribosomal RNA". It matches the Rfam family "Bacterial small subunit ribosomal RNA", at positions 524 to 776 of the family's 1533-position model. The record is from RNAcentral.